CUUCUGAGGGCGGUGGUGGGAAGCAAGAAAGCAAAAAUUACUUGAGGUUGAGGUGGAGACCCUGCUGCUCCUGUCCUCGUUGGCUUUGCUCAGCUGCUUGCUAAGGUGCCCUAGGUCAAUCUGUGUCUCCAGAGAAGGAACAGGCCUCAGGGUUGGCAAGGGAGAGAUCAUGAGAUCAACCCCGCCAGGACCCCAGGUUGCGUGGCAAAGCUCUGGAGAGCAUGAAGUUAGCUCUCCCAGCCAGGCUACCAGGGUCUAGCACCCAGGUGGGGCUGGUUCGAGCCAGUCUGAGAUCUGUCCUAGGUACCGCCUGGAGGUCUCGGGCUCCCCCAUACCCUCUUCUGAAUGUGGCUGGGCUUCACUCUGUCCCUCAUGCACUCUCCUGGCUCUGCUCCUACUUUAACCCCUCAAAUUCCUUCUUGGUCUGACUUCCCCUUAGCUCUAGGGGAGCCUCCCUGUCCCUAUAGUAACACAUUAUUUCUUCAAGUGGGUUACACAAAAGCCUAGUUCAGCAGGAGUGGUGAAGAUGAAAUUCCCAUGGCCAAAGCCGUGUGUGGAACUGUCACACUGACCCCCCUCUCCAGGCAGGUGGAUGUCACCAGGUAGUCAGGCAUCCAGGCACCUGUUCCCUGUAUCUCCUAGAGUUGUGUAUACUCAGACAUCUGCCCCUGGUGCCGGGUCUCCUGCAGAUCUGCCUGUGCUACUCUCCUGGGUAUGGCUUUGUUUUAAACACUGGGGAAUGAACCCAGGGUCUCAGGCAUGCUAGGCAAAUGCCCUCAGUAACUGCACCCUGAUCUUUUUUGAGACAGGAUUUUACUACACUGUGACUUUAGGAUCCUGUUGGAAGUCUUCCCAAGGCACAGGGAAAAGGGCGCCUCAGGAAGAGCUCAGGAAGGGGUCAGGUGUGCGAAGCUGGGCUACUUGGCACCUCUUUGGCUUCCUUCAACUCCUUCUAGUGCCUCUACUCAGGCUGCUAUGUCUACUGGGGUCCCCUUCUGUCCUGGGGACAGCCCACACCUGGCCAGUGAAGGACAUUCUGCCUAUUGGGUGACUCUGCUCAGAGGGCAGCUCCGGGUCCACUCACCCUUUUGGGAGAACAAGAAAAAAGCAGGGAUAGAGAAGAAAGAAUUGCCAAUCCAGGAAUGCCCUUGGGAGGGUCACUGGGAACCUUGCUGUCCUCCUAGGAGGCUGAGACAGUGCAGGGGUGAGAGGAGCAGAGGCCAAGGAUGGCAUCAGAAAGAGGAAGGCGGGACUGGGAGGGGCAGGGUGAGGUGCUGGGGCUGGAAGCUCCUUGAGAGCACAAAGUAGGAGGCUUGCUCUCAGCAGCCUGCUUCUCCCAACUCCCGGCCUGACAAUCACCCCCAGGCUCCUCAGCAGGACCCAGUCUGCAGUCUGCUGCGGCUACGGUUAUGGGGGUUCGUCUGUUCAUUCUUCUCUGGAUUGCUAAGGUACUGUCUUCAGCCCUGUUCUGGGCUGGGACAGUGGCUUGCUUUUGGAGGCAGCUGUCCUGCCAGACUUCAGGAUAGAACAGAAGGGCCAUCAGCCCCGCCCGAAAUGCUGCCAAAAACCAAAAGCUAUUUUUAAAAGCCUGUGGUUCAUGCAGGAAGCCAUCGUUACACUUUUCCUAGGCAAGGUUGCUCUUGCGGAAGAAAACGACAGUCCUCCCUGGAGGAAGAUCAGAGGGCCCUGCCUCCUGGCCCAGAAUAGCGCCUGGACCAUCCCGUGUGGGCACAGCCAGGCGUGCCCACAGGGAGGUCUCAGGGGGCAUUCGGAGAACAGAGUCCCACCAGCAUGGGAUUCCAGCUUACUCUGACCUCUGGGGUGGCAUGGGCAGAACCAUGGAUAUUGGUUCUGGCCGGAAAAGCUGAAUCACUCCUGCCGAAGUUCCUGGGGAUCUGGGCCUUGGCGACCAUAUUCUCUGGAAGUUUCUGGGCACUGGUAAGUGUGCUGUCCGGCCUCACUCGCUGUGGGGGUUCCAAGGAAAGAGAAUUGAGGGCCCUGGUCCUUAGCAUGGCUGGGUAGUCAGGUCGCCUCUUUCCACUUUCUCUUUGGGCACUCAACUUUCUGCUCUGGUCAGCUUGCACGAUAGAAGUGUGGACAUGGCCACAUGGGGCUCAGCUCUCCCAGGUCAUGGGAGAGGUGAGGGAUGAGCAGGGACAGACCCUCCACUGGACAAGGGCCACAGUCCCUAUGGGGUUUGGGGAGGUCUGGAUGCAGCAUGCCCAGGGUGCAGGGGCCUCCAUGGCAGCUGAAUGGCCCAGGUGGGCCUGGGUCUUGGGGCACACGGUGAGAGAAGGAAGCUGUGCGCUCAGGGCUCUCGGGGCCUCUGGGAAGCCCUGGUGUCUGCCUGGGGAGGACCGGCCAGGGCUGUGGGCAGGCGGCCUAGCCUGGUCUCCAAACCACAGCACUUCCUCUUUCCAAACACUUUCCCCUCUGUCAGCAGUCUCUCUGUUCCUUCCCUGGCUUCCAUAACUCACCCUCCCCCAGAGAAGAGAGACAGACAGAGAGAUAGACACACACAGACCAUAUGACAAAGGCCGAGGUGGCUGGGGCACCGGCACUGGGGUGGAGGCUCCGGAAAGCACUGCCAUCUCCUGUCAGGUCAGUUGGUGACCCGCUGCCUACUGCCCCAGCUCUGUGUCAGCAGUGUGGUGCUUCAGCCAGCUCUUCGCAUGCUGUCCCUAGCUGCCCGACUUCACGUGGCCUCUAGGGCCAAUGCUGGGAAAUCAUGCUCCUGGGUCUCUUACUCAACAGAGAGAAAGGAGUGGACAUCCUGGGCUUGGAUGUCCUCUUGUCUGGGUGACUGCAGAGCUGUGCAUGGAGGUGGGGCUAUGUCUGGGAAAACACUGCCUGUGUGUAUGGGGCACGCGGGACAGUGUGUGUGGACUUGUGAGUGUUGCUGCGGAAGUCUACACACUGUGUGUCUGUGCUUGAGGCAGUGGUUGAAAAUGGGCUCAGCAGGUAGGACAGGACAAACCUGAGUCUCUCCUGUGCAAAUCCAGGCCUCCUCCUUCCCAGCCUGGCCCUGCCUCCCAACAGCACUGCUCUUCCCUUCUGGCUUUAGGAUGGCCUUUGCUUUACAUUUGGCCUGCUGCCCUUCAUAGUUGGCCCUCUGCCCUGCAGGACAAGCUGGGCUUCUCCUGGCCAGAACUGAGCCUGUGGCCACCCAGGAGUUCUAGUUUCUGCUGCCGCAGGCCUGAAAUGUGUUCUCACUGUCAUCUGGAAACAAACGGGGGUGAGCAGCAUCUCUGUGUUCCAGGAAGGCCGGACCCUCGUGGGGUUGUCAAGCUGGUUCCAACUGUGUUCUCACCACAAGGAGCUCUCGUGGGACAGGGGAAACUGGUCACCCACUGGUCCACGACAGGGGUGCCGCAGAUGUUUCCAGGGGCAUCUCGCAGCCUCCUGUCUCUCACCCUGCAAGUUCCUGGAUGUUGGGAAGCUCUAGGCCAGCAAGACCUCUGCUCCAGCAUUGGCCUGCGGCCUCCCUGGAAUCCUCUCAGUUCAGCCCUUCUGUAAGUUCUGAAGGCCAGCGCUGUAGCAGGGCCUGAGCCCUUAUCAAUGCAGGUUGGGACUAUGUUCCAGUGCCAGGCUGGGGCUGGCCUCCAGGUUUUAUCUGGCUGGGGCUGCCCUUCCUGGUCUGAGUGCAGCUGGCUGAGGGAGGACAGUGUGGGUGGUUCCUUCUUUUUACUCAAUUCUCAAGCAGCUGCCAGGAUGGAGUAGGAUGCUGACAGAGACAGAGGUUUUGUAGUGAUCUGUAGUGUCCAGAGCAAAGGUGACCUACCUUAGAGACCACAAGGUUGCCCUGCUUCCCUGUCCUCAGGACCAUCUUCCUUUCUGGUGGACCCGCAAUUGUGUCCUAAGGCCCAAGACCUCUACUCCCAGGACAUUAGUGAGCUAGAGCCGCCCUGGUGCCACCCCAAGUCCCAAGCAAGGCCCCUGCCCCAGGCCCAGUGGCAGCAGGUGAUAGGAAAGCCUGGCUGUGAGCCUUGGUGAGUCUGGAGGCCCCAGGCAGAGCGGGCAGAGAGCAGAGGGAGCUGUUAGUAGGAGAUGGGCAGCAGUGGUGGGGCAAGAAGCAGGUGGCCACGGUCACCUCGGCUGUGCUGCCUGUUGACCAUUCCGCCCAGGGUCCAUCGGCGAUCCAGGCGCCGCUGAUAGGCCUUGCGUCUCUUGGACACUGGCGUGGGAGGUGGUUGAUGGUGCACGCAGCCGACAUGAACCGGCGGAGAAAAUGGAGAUGAGGAUGAGAUGGGGGCGAAUGGAGGAAGGGGGAGAUGGGAAGGGAACUGUCCACUGCCCAGCAGCCAGUCCGGCUGAGUGGCACAUCCAGUGGGAUGGGCACAGGUGAUCAGCAUGUGGGAAAAAUUCAAACUUCAGCUUACAGCCCACAUCUAGAAGGGAGCUAAAGAGUUCAGGAUGUCAGUACCUUAGGAACAGGAAGGGUCCUCACGGCAGCCCUAACCCUGGCUGUAGCCACAGCCCUGCAGGGUGGAAGGGUCACUACUUCCCCAGGUCCGGGAUGAUGCCCAUCUGCAGAAGUGCCUGGAGCCCCAGGCAGCCAGGCUGGCAUCCACUCGCUCACUCAUGCGUGUGAAUUCGCCACCAUGGGCCAGGCAUCACACGGGCAAGAACGCAUGUGUCCAGGAGAACCCCGGGCCCCUCCUCACUGGCCCACAGCUUUGCUUUCCCACCUGUCCCCACUCGGGAAUGCCACCUGUGGGGGAUCAGGACUUUGCCUGCUGUCUCUGUAUCCCCAGUGCGUGGCACUGGCCAAGGGCAGGGCUGCUGGGUGAAAUAUACACAGGCGGAUGGCACAGCCACCCUGCGUUCCUGCCUGCCGUCUCCGACAGCAGAGGCCAUGCUGUCAGCUGCUCGGUUCCUGAGACCCCCUUGCUUUGACUGUGCUCCCUAGGCAGGCCCUGCACUGGUCCACUGGUUGCCACAAGCCCCUGAGGGCCCCUGUGCCUAGGUGCUAGCAUGGGAUGACCUGUUGUCCUCCAGGAUUCUCAGGGAGAAAGGACACUGAACUCUGAGGUGCCAGCUGGUCCCACCUCUGGGCACCAUAGAAGGAGGCUGCCCAGCUGUCCCAGCCUGGAAGAGGGAGAGGCUGGUGGUUAGAACGAAAAGUGAAACUGUCCAGGCAAACUUGGACCAACCCCACAAAGCCUUCUGGGAAGUCUGCUCUCUCAGAGAGGAUGGUGGCCUGUGUGACCUGUCCAUUCUGAGAGGCGACCUGGACAACAGGCCAGGAGGUGUAAUACUAGACCAGCCCACUGCCAGAACACCCUGAGAAGCCUGUGACCUCAUCUGUCAUAGAGUGACACUUCUUUCCCUGGUAUGGGCCAACACAAGGGGCUGAAAGGAUCUGGGGACACUGAUUAGGGUGAGGCCUCCUAGGUGAGGCUGGGUGAUGCGGGGAGCAGGGGGAGGGUAACUCCCCUCAUGGUAACCCUCCUAGUAACUGACCUUUACCCCCUACCUACCUGGUUUAGUGUGAACCAUUUACAAACAUCUCACCCGAGCUUCCUGGAAGGCCUUUGUGACUGCCCUAGUCCCAUCACACAGAUGGGGAAACAGAGGCCUGGGGUGCCAAGAAACCCUCUGAAUCACAUCAACCAGGAGGCUGUAGGUGUGGAGAACAGAGGACACAGCACAGUGGCCUGUGCCUUGGCUCUGGGAGGCCCACCCUGAGCCCUCCUGUAGAUCUGCACAGGAGAAACCUAGGAAGAGGCAGUGGAAUCACAAGCGGCCACAGAAGCUGGCACACAGGCCCUGUCAGAAUCCCUGGAAGAGGAGUCCCUGGAGGAUGUGUACAUGUGCGUGUGUACACUUUCCGAGCAGAGGACUCUGCGCUGGCUCUGCCUGAUUUGUACAAUAUUGAGGUCAAGGUCCUCCACACCUUGCUGCCGCCCAUAUGUCUUAGCUUCAGGGCCACAGCCUGCGCCAUCUGCGUGACCCCUCUGCCCUGUCCUGCCCUUCCUGGUGCAGCCUUUGCAGCCACACGUUCUCCUAGAGUGAGUCCUCAUGUGACCCCUCUUGCUGAUGAGCCGGUGCUUUGGAAGGUGUGGAGGCCCAGGGCCCAAGCUGGAUAGAACAGGCACUGCCUGUUUGGAAGCCUCAGGCCCUGCAGCUAGAAAUGCAGGGACUAAAACUGUCCUCCCAGGGGGCCAAGAGGGGAUCUAGAGCCCUGAUCCAGCACCUCUGAACGUGAACUCAGAUAGAUGAGACUCUAGGACUGCAGGGAAACUAGAGCAGGCCAGCUCAGGGCCACAGCUAUCCACUGUGGCAGGGGUGUGGUGGGAACAGGGUGGGGCUCAGGGAAGACACUGGGAGCCCUUCCAGUGAAGCCCAGUCCUGGGAGACCUAUAACAGGUAACUUGCACUGCAGAGGCCUGGCUUGGAUCAGGGCUGAAACAAAACGCUGACCCAGGAGGAUAGGCAGGGCCGAGGCCCCAGCCAGAGAGCCAGCAUACAAGGAGCUGCUUAUUUUGGACUGGGCAGCAAGAGAGGGACAGAGGAGCAGCCUGGAGGAGGUCUGAGCUCUGGUGGCAGGCCUCCAUCCUGCCAUCCAUCCCUCAGACGCACCCACCUGAACCGUCCCUGCUGGCCAUUAGGGGACGAGUCCCUGCUGCCAGGCCCUAGGAGGUUCAAAGGCCUUAGGAGCAUGUAGCUGGGAACCCGCAUGGCUCAGCCUCCUGGGCACAGGCAGCCUUGCUGGGGUAGGGUCUACAGACUGCACUAGCCUGGGGAGAAGGACCCAGGAGCACCUCACAGAGCCGGGGCUACAUGAGGGCUGAGAACUGGGUAGGGCCUGGGCCAAUCUCAGUCUCUGAGCCCUGCCUCAGUGGGUCCCUGAGAGGAGCCCAAGACUUCCAGGGAGGAGUGUUCCAGGAGUCCAGGCCUAACACUGUGUUCUCCACCCUGUCUCCCAGGUGCCAAAGUCAAUGGUCCACACCGCAAGAGAAUUUCCUUGGUUGUUAGCCCCAUGUUGGAGCCAGCAACGGUAGGCGUGAGGAGUUGGUGGGCCAGCCUCAGUGAGGUAGGGUCCCAAAGGAAGGGGUGACCCAGCUCACCCUGGAGGGUCAGGUGUUUUUGAAGAAGAAGAGUGGGAGCACUGCCUCAGGAAGGGGUGGAGCCCACCCCAGCUUUCCUACCCCACUCCUACUCUGAAGGCCCUUACCUUCCCCGGCCUUGGGGGUGUUGAUGUCUGAGUCAUCCCGAGUGCCGUUCUGGGCCUCCAGGUAGGUGGCAGGGACCCAGCCCUGCUCCUCAGAGGUGCUCACGAACCACCAGCCUGCAGAGGGGACAAAAGAAGACAGGCCCUAAGAGAGUGCAGGAUGCUGGAGGACAAGGAGACAAGCGGGGCCCAGGGACAGGGUAUGGUGCCAGGUUGCAUGGAUGCCUGGCACAUACCCAGCUCACGCACGGCCAGCCUUGGGAGCCUGCGUCCAGCCUCGGGCAGGAAAGGCCAACACAUGCCCAAGAAGAGGGCCUCACCAGCUGCCCUUCGUUCUGACACGUUCCAUGAAAAAAGAAGUGGGAACAAUGGUACAUCCUACAAGUGAAAAGCCACACCUUGUGCAGGCCACCCAGGGCCUGUCAGCCUGCCAGGUUCCCUGGUGUGGCCGCUGUGGCUCUCCCAGGUGCCCAGACCCAGGUCAGCAUAGUCCUCCUCAGCUGAUCCUGGCUGCCCCUGAAGGGUGGUGCCAUUUCCAUGACAGUAUGUGGACACUGACUCUGGGGGCAGACACCUGCCCUCAAUCAACUUUUGGGUGGCUCAUAUUCCUAGGAACUGACAAGGUCAGAAUGCACAUUAAGCACCCUUUGGGAUUAGCACUAUCAUGGCUUAAUUUGGGCCAAGGUCAGGCUAGAGGAGGUGGUCCUGGGCCCCUAGGAGCUCCCACUGACCUCUGCCUGUGCUCAAGAGCUUUGACAUUCAGACUGACAGAAGAGGCCAUUCCUGACGCUGCCAGCCACUGGGCAGAAGGCCACAGGACCACUGCUCACUGAUGUCAAAGGAGGUCUCGCUGCCCCUCUCUCUUUAACCAAGAGGACCCUGAGUGCCACAAAUCGCUCAAGGGGUACUAAGGCUCUGUCUGUGAUGGUAUGGGUGGCAGUUUCUCUGCCAUUCUCUGUGGAGAUGGCUAGCAAAAGCAGAAGCCAAGGCUGCCUAGGAAAGGAAGAGCAAUGAAGGGUGGCAGGGAGCAUUGUGGCUGCUCCUACGCACUUGGCUUGGGGUGCCCCCCCCCACUCUGCCCCCGGCUGGAAUUAGGCCAGGGAAAUACUAUGCAAGCUGUGUGGGUCACCUUCAUCCCUUCCUGUGACCCACAGCCUUUGCAUCCUCUGACCCUGUCACACCUGGGGCCAUGGAGAGGGCGGAUGAGCUCCCUGCCAUCUUCCCUGAAGCCCAGGUCCUGUGCCUUGGUUGCUGGAGCCCCCAAGGCAGCCAGAGGGCAAUGGACUUUGCAAGGGAAUCUACUUGGGUGCCUCCUCCCUCAGCCUCUGGAGGAGCAUUCCCAGGAACUCUAGCAGUCUCUGCCAGGAGGUACAAUCCCAGCUGUUCCUUCAGACUCAUGGCACAAAAUGCCCCAACUCACUGGACUUGCACCACAGGCCCCAGCUUCCUUGAACACGAAGUGGGCACACCUAGCCAACAUCUCCUGCUGGACCUGUCACUUUGGAUGCUGCAGUGCCCUGGGGACAGGAAUUUACCUAUGGCGCCAAAUCAAGACCAAUGGGCUACCCGUGCAUCUUUGAUGCCCCUUUAGGUUCCACCCCAAACCGAGGCUACUUACAUAACCGCCACGCCACGUGUCCGCCAGAGAGAAAGCCGGACUCCAGCGGUCAGGGGGUUUUGGUUUUCUCUCUCCAUGUUCUCAGAAUAAAGGCCUCUUUUGUUUUAUA
This is a long non-coding RNA of Cavia porcellus (domestic guinea pig), 8901 nucleotides long. RefSeq lists it as uncharacterized. The transcript has 3 exons. Lineage: Eukaryota; Metazoa; Chordata; Mammalia; Rodentia; Caviidae. The record is from RefSeq and is a predicted model, not a curated record.